Molecule: ribosomal RNA, 370 nt
Filed under: uncultured organism
Description: bacterial SSU rRNA
Rfam family: Bacterial small subunit ribosomal RNA
Source: RNAcentral
CGUAGGGUGCAAGCGUUAAUCGGAAUUACUGGGCGUAAAGCGUGCGCAGGCGGCUUUGCAAGACAGAUGUGAAAUCCCCGGGCUUAACCUGGGAACUGCAUUUGUGACUGCAAGGCUAGAGUACGGCAGAGGGGGAUGGAAUUCCGCGUGUAGCAGUGAAAUGCGUAGAUAUGCGGAGGAACACCGAUGGCGAAGGCAAUCCCCUGGGCCUGUACUGACGCUCAUGCACGAAAGCGUGGGGAGCAAACAGGAUUAGAUACCCUGGUAGUCCACGCCCUAAACGAUGUCAACUGGUUGUUGGACGGCUUGCUGUUCAGUAACGAAGCUAACGCGUGAAGUUGACCGCCUGGGGAGUACGGCCGCAAGGUUG